This 507-nucleotide ribosomal RNA is filed under the name Starmerella bacillaris. Its description in RNAcentral is "eukaryotic LSU rRNA". It matches the Rfam family "Eukaryotic large subunit ribosomal RNA", at positions 34 to 565 of the family's 3401-position model. Lineage: Eukaryota; Fungi; Ascomycota; Dipodascomycetes; Dipodascales; Trichomonascaceae. The record is from RNAcentral.
GUGCAGCAUAUCAAUAAGCGGAGGAAAAGAAACCAACAGGGAUUGCCCUAGUAACGGCGAGUGAACAGGCAAGAGCUCAGAUUUGAAAGGCACUUUUGUGCCGUUGUAUUCUGAAGUUAGGGUCCUGAGAAACGAUGCUUAAGUCUUCUGGAAAGGAGCGCCAUGGAGGGUGAUAGCCCCGUCUAGCAUUGACCUCAUAUAGGAUCUUAACAUGGAGUCGAGUUGUUUGGGAAUGCAGCUCAAAUGGGUGGUAUGCUCCAUCUAAAGCUAAAUAUCUGCGAGAGACCGAUAGUAAACAAGUACUGUGAGGGAAAGAUGAAAAGAACUUUGAAAAGAGAGUGAAAAAGUACGUGAAAUUGUUGAAAUGGAAGGGUAGGCCGCUAACCAUGUAGAGCCGUGUUUGGGGGGAAGAUAAAUGCUGUAGAAUGUAGCUCCUCGGAGUAUUAUAGAUGCAGUUCAUAUUCCCACCCGAGCGCGAGGAUCUCACGCAUAUCUUAAUGCAAAAAU